GCCUCUGUAGCUCAGUUGGUUAGUGCGCUGCACCGGAAUCGCAGGGCCGUAGGUUCAAUUCCUACCAGAGGAC
Molecule: transfer RNA, 73 nt
Filed under: Paramuricea clavata
Lineage: Eukaryota; Metazoa; Cnidaria; Anthozoa; Malacalcyonacea; Plexauridae
Rfam family: tRNA
About the family: Transfer RNA (tRNA) molecules are approximately 80 nucleotides in length.
Source: Rfam by way of RNAcentral